CUCCAAUUUUCAUCAUCCAAAAGCCGAUAACUGAAAAAUGGCCUUUGUAUAAAAAUUCAUCUGGAUAUAGACUGAUUGACAUGGAUUUUACGUUGGCGUUCAAUAGUAUGUCAAGCAAGGAUGGAUUGUUGGAAGGAUGGGAUAAGUCAUGGGAAAAACUGUACUCGUUCCUAAAGAUAGAAAAUCACGUAAAGGAUAAAUCAGUUAAAACUUUGGUGGAAAAACUUAAUGAUUCGAUGAUGACCAUCUCAGAGAAUGGGCGUAAUGCUGCCUUAAUCUGGAUGUUACAUGGGUAUUUAGUGCCCACAACAAAAAUUGUUAAAAAAUAUUGUACAGGAAAAAAAAACAACUACCAAAUAUACCAUAAAAGACGCUCAAGAGUCAGUUAUCUACAUUGCAAGCAGUCUUAUGGAAAUCGAGGAGAGAAUAGACCACCUUAAAAAAAACAAAAGUAUUCCUACAGCCAUCCAUUUAUGCUACAGGCAACAGUAUUUUUGAAAUUGAUGAAAUAUUUGUCAAUUUUGAUGAUAUCAGAUUUAA
Molecule: long non-coding RNA, 540 nt
Organism: Anthonomus grandis grandis
Lineage: Eukaryota; Metazoa; Arthropoda; Insecta; Coleoptera; Curculionidae
Exons: 3
Source: RefSeq, a predicted model, not a curated record